This 253-nucleotide ribosomal RNA is filed under the name uncultured bacterium. RNAcentral's name for it is "partial 16S ribosomal RNA". It matches the Rfam family "Bacterial small subunit ribosomal RNA", at positions 524 to 776 of the family's 1533-position model. The record is from RNAcentral.
UACGGGGGGGGCAAGCGUUGUUCGGAAUUACUGGGCGUAAAGGGCUCGUAGGUGGCCAACUAAGUCAGACGUGAAAUCCCUCGGCUUAACCGGGGAACUGCGUCUGAUACUGGAUGGCUUGAGAUUGGGAGAGGGAUGCGGAAUUCCAGGUGUAGCGGUGAAAUGCGUAGAUAUCAGGAGGAACACCGAUGGCGAAGGCAGCUCGCUGGGACGGUACUGACGCUGAGGCGCGAAAGCGUGGGGAGCGAACAGG